UUUAUGAUAAAAACUAGUAAAUGCAAUUUUUUAUAAAUGAAUCCAGUUUAUGGUUCUGAUUUUUUUUAUCAGAGGCAGAGUUAUUAUUUUAGCGUUAUAUUUUUAUAACGUAUGAAAAAAAAAAAAAAAAAAAACGCGACGAGGAUUAUUGAGCAAUCAAUAAUUAUUAUUUCCAAGUUAUAACUGACUUAGCAAAGUCAUGUUAUUUAUUAAUCGAGAAACAGAAGCAGUUAUAUUUUAUUAGUGCUACUAGAAGUCGAGAAAUUAUUCCGACUGCAACGCAAAUUCAAUCUACGGAUUUAAUCUAGAUUCAUAUUACUGUAUUAGCAUCACCAAGGCAUGAGGAUAUAAUUCAUUUAUUCAUCAAUCUCAUUCUCAUACUUUACAAACUCUUAUAACCAAUUACAGUUUCACCUAUCAAUGCUAUGAAGUAGAUACAUGAAUAUGCUAGACAUAUAUGUAAGCAUACAAUCAUCAUUAUUUUUUUCCACUCCCUAAUGUCUCCUACACUAUACACGCAUAAUCUCCACUUCUCCACUCCACCAACUAUCUCCACCACCUUUUGCUUUCUUCCACUACAUUUUUUCUCACCACCCUUUCCACUCCACUAAUUCCACUACACCAAACUUUCCACCUACUCCCUUCCCCACCACACGCAAGAAUGCAUCUAACAUUCCAUUAUACAGGCAACAAUCUUUUCAUCAUCUUCAUUCUUCACUAAGGAACCGAAGAGCAGCCACGAGUUCUGCCAUAAGUACACUGCUCCGGCAGUGUUUUGCAAGGCGAUUCCAGCCAUCCAAAAGGUCCGGGCGACAGAAAGUGAAGCCGAAGAAGAAACGACUCCACGCCAGCUUUAAGAACAAUUGAGGUGGGCAAUUUCUUACGCGUAAAUAAAAUGCUAUGCAAGUGUUAUGCUUUAAAAUGCAAAUUGGAUCUUCAAGUAUGGUAUGCUUUAUUACGCUUAAAUGAGUUAAGCUUUAUUAUGAUGCACGUUAAAUGAUUACGCUUAUUUACGCUUGAAUGCUUUACGCUGAUAAGUUUAUGCUUAUGUUUGAUGCUUGCGUCUGUUGGGGGAGGCCUCCCUCAACAGUACGAUGCCGUGUCCGCUGAGGAGGGCCUUCCUCACGGCGCGAUGCCCGUGUCCGCUGAGAGAGGCCUCUCUCGCGGCGCGAUGCCAAUAUGCCAGUGUUACAGCGUCUAUUGGGGGAGGCCUCCCUCAAUAGUACGAUGCCGUGACCGCUGAGGGAGGCUUCCCCUCACGGCGCGAUGCCCGUGUUCGUUGGGGAAGGCCUUCUCCACGACACGAUGUUUGUUAAUGAAGAUUGAUGAUGAAGAAUGCCCUUAUGCUAUUUAUGAAUUUGGAAAUAUUUAAUGAGCAAAUGAUAUGAAAGAAACUCAUGCCUCUUAUGCGAUGUUGUGUUUUGUUGUUGAUGUUAUGUUAUAUGCUUGGCAACUGCCCACUAAGUACUUUUGUACUUAGCCCUUCGAUGUUUAUGAUUGUGCAGGUUGAGCUGUGAUGGGCGAUGAAGUGUUGCUGAGUGGAGUUUUUGUCGAACUUAAAGUAGGCUCAGAAAGGAUACAUGUCUUCAUACAUGUAUCACAGUUAUGCAUUUCCGCUGUAAACACUGAUUAUUUCAGUUACGCCUUCCGUUGCAAACUCUGAUAAUGUUUUAGCCAAGCCCCUAACGAUGCCUUUUCCUUUUAAGGAAUAUAACGCGUAUAGAAAUUCUUUGAGUACCCUUUUUAUGCGAACUAUGCCUUGUUCGUUUUUAAGGAAUAUUUCACGCGUA
Long non-coding RNA from Salvia miltiorrhiza (redroot sage), 1790 nucleotides. RefSeq lists it as uncharacterized. The record is from RefSeq and is a predicted model, not a curated record. The transcript is spliced from 2 exons. NCBI's taxonomy places the organism in Eukaryota, Viridiplantae, Streptophyta, Magnoliopsida, Lamiales, Lamiaceae.